ACAAUUGGUAAAGCAGUGUCUCUUCAUAAAGAAUAUUAGUUCAAGAUGAAGUCCAUUAAAUUGUUUGAUACUGUAACCCCAGACUUAGGAGUAGCCUUCAGAGCAUAUUUUAGCUCCUUGAAGCCCACAUUCCUUCAGAUAAAACUAUACUUAAAAUCCCAGGGAAUGCUUCUCUUUAACUUAUCACUAUUCUCCCGACCUUCAAAAACAUCUCCCAAAUUUCAAAUUAUAUUGUUAGCUUUAUUUAAACCAUUUACAAUUAACUGGGUCAUUUACUAGCUGCAGACUAGGAAACCAAGCAUAGUAUUCACCUCUGCCAAGGGUUGAACACACUAUAGUGCCCACGAAGAGAAACCCUUGAGCCGUCAUCUAAACUCAUA
This 380-nucleotide long non-coding RNA is filed under the name Bos taurus (domestic cattle). Its description in RNAcentral is "long non-coding RNA NONBTAT014886". Lineage: Eukaryota; Metazoa; Chordata; Mammalia; Artiodactyla; Bovidae. The record is from RNAcentral.